AUUGAACGCUGGCGGCAUGCCUUACACAUGCCAGUCGAACGGUAACGGGCCUUCGGGUGCCGACGAGUGGCGCACGGGUGAGUAAUACAUCGGAACGUGCCCGAUCGUGGGGGAUAACGAGGCGAAAGCUUUGCUAAUACCGCAUACGAUCUACGGAUGAAAGCGGGGGACCGCAAGGCCUUGCGCGGACGGAGCGGCCGAUGGCAGAUUAGGUAGUUGGUGGGAUAAAAGCUUACCAAGCCGACGAUCUGUAGCUGGUCUGAGAGGAUGAUCAGCCACACUGGGACUGAGACACGGCCCAGACUCCUACGGGAGGCAGCAGUGGGGAAUUUUGGACAAUGGGCGCAAGCCUGAUCCAGCCAUGCCGCGUGCAGGAUGAAGGCCUUCGGGUUGUAAACUGCUUUUGUACGGAACGAAAAGCCUUCUUUUAAUACAGGAGGGUCAUGACGGUACCGUAAGAAUAAGCACCGGCUAACUACGUG
This 482-nucleotide ribosomal RNA is filed under the name uncultured bacterium. RNAcentral's name for it is "partial 16S ribosomal RNA". It matches the Rfam family "Bacterial small subunit ribosomal RNA", at positions 30 to 507 of the family's 1533-position model. The record is from RNAcentral.